GAUGAAGAACGUAGCGAAAUGCGAUAAGUAAUGUGAAUUGCAGAAUUCAGUGAAUCAUCGAAUCUUUGAACGCACAUUGCGCCCGCCAGUAUUCUGGCGGGCAUGCCUGUCCGAGCGUCAUUUCAACCCUCGAACCCCUCCGGGGGGUCGGCGUUGGGGAUCGGGAACCCCUAAGACGGGAUCCCGGCCCCGAAAUACAGUGGCGGUCUCGCCGCAGCCUCUCCUGCGCAGUAGUUUGCACAACUCGCACCGGGAGCGCGGCGCGUCCACGUCCGUAAAACACCCAACUUCUGAAAUGUUGACCUCGGAUCAGGUAGGAAUACCCGCUGAACUUAAGCAUAUCAAUAGCGGAGGA
RNAcentral lists this unclassified non-coding RNA (355 nucleotides) under soil metagenome. RNAcentral's name for it is "partial contains 5.8S ribosomal RNA, internal transcribed spacer 2, and large subunit ribosomal RNA". The stretch from base 1 to 120 matches the Rfam family "5.8S ribosomal RNA", at positions 35 to 154 of the family's 154-position model. The record is from RNAcentral.